Molecule: long non-coding RNA, 495 nt
Organism: Bos taurus (domestic cattle)
Lineage: Eukaryota; Metazoa; Chordata; Mammalia; Artiodactyla; Bovidae
Source: Ensembl
UGGAAUUUUAGCCUCCCUCACCGCCAGCAGCCCUCGCGGCCCGAGUCGCACCUGCUCUGUCGUCUGGUUCACAAGCAACAGGCUCUGAGGCCGGGGUCCCAGGGCGCUGAUGGCUCCUCCUCCCUACGGUGCUCCAGGCCGGCCUGCCAGUGGCCCGGUGCCUCUCGCUAAUGCGCGUUCUGCAGCCUGACAAAGCUCUGGACUUGGCAUAAAAUCCAACUAUUGGGCCAGGUCCAAGAUGUUGUAUAAAGGCGACUUCCCCUGUCUCAGUGAACACAAAUCUGAAAAAAAAUUGAAAAGGUGUGUUAGUUGCUCAGCCAUGUCCAACUCUUUGUGUUCCCAUGGACUGUAGCCUGCUAGGCUCCUUUGUCCGAGGAAUUCUUCAGGAAAGAAUACUGGAGUGGGUCGCCAUUCCCUUCUACUCAGGGAUCAAACCUGGAUCUCUUGCAUUGCAGGAAAAUUCAAAUUUUGACUUUGCUGUUUAAUCCUACUCGG